AGCGACCUCCGAGAUGAUACUCAGGUGCUAGAAGUGUGCAGACAGGCAGACUAGAUAUUGCCGGCGGGAAUAAACAUCCUUGUUAACAAUGCUGGUAAUUUCUCUGAAACGUUCCUCCUAGGAUCUUGUCCAUCCAAUCUCUAUGGUCCCCGACAGUCUCCCCCGGCCAGACAUGCUGACUUCCAACUUCAUCAAAAUCGAAAAUUUUGGCAUUGUAUAGGAUAGUCUCCUCGAUGUCCCUUUUAGAGGAUUUCCCCCAGCUUCCUCUGAUGAUUGUUGCAAACAGAUACACGGUCAGAGACAGAUAAAGUAGAAAGAAACUCCAAAAUGCCAGGAAAUCGAUUGCGG
Long non-coding RNA from Magallana angulata, 348 nucleotides. RefSeq lists it as uncharacterized. The record is from RefSeq and is a predicted model, not a curated record. The transcript is spliced from 3 exons. Lineage: Eukaryota; Metazoa; Mollusca; Bivalvia; Ostreida; Ostreidae.